GAUUUCCUGGGUUGGUGCCGAUGGACAGGAACAGCUGUUUGACAAAUGACAGCUCAUGCUCUGAAUUCGUUUUAAUUGCUAUUUUUCUGUCGUUAGAUAAACUAUUUUAAAGCUGGAUUUAUUUCUGCAAGUGCCGAUAGCACAACAUAUAUACUGUUGAUGCUCUAUUCAUUUUAACAGGAUAUGAAAAAGGGAAGGAAACACCAGCAAGGUACAGGAGCCCGGGUGAAUGGGAAUGGAAAUGCACAGCAACAUGGAGAACAUGAGUCAUGGAAAAAGCUGAAGCUGGUGGAGAUCCACCAGGCCCUGAACUGUGACCCUGUGGACAUUGAGACCCUGCGGAGGGCGGCCGUCAGCGAGGGAGGCCUUCUUACAGAUGAGAUCAGGAGGAAAGUCUGGCCCAAGCUGCUCAGCGUCAAUGUGUACAACUUGCCUGCUAAACCAACCAAGGAUAUCCGAGAGAACCACAAGGACUUCAACCAGGUGCUCCUUGAUGUCAGGAGGUCCAUGAAACGUUUCCCAAGAGGCAUGCGUGUGGACGAGAGGCAGGUACUACAGGAACAGCUGAUCGACAUCAUCCUGGUUGUCCUACAGAAGAACCCUGCGUUACACUACUACCAGGGUUACCAUGACAUCGUGGUCACCUUCCUACUGGUGGUUGGAGAGCGCAUGGCCAUUGCCAUGGUGGAGACCCUUUCCAAUCACCACCUCAGGGAUUUCAUGGAUCCUACCAUGGACAGCACCAAGCACAUACUGAACUACCUAAUGCCAAUACUGGAGCAAGUUGAUCCACAGCUACACGAAUUCAUGCUGAGGGCCGAGGUGGGCACCAUCUUUGCUCUGAGCUGGCUCAUCACAUGGUACGGCCACGUCCUGUCUGAGUUCCGUCACGUUCUCAGGCUCUAUGACUUCUUCCUGGCUUCACACCCCCUGAUGGCCAUCUACUUCGCUGCCGUGAUCGUCCUGCACAGGGAGAAGGAGGUGAAGCAAACCGAGUGUGACAUGGCCAUGAUGCACCAACUCCUGUCUAAGAUCCCCCAGGACCUGCCCUACGAGGAGCUCAUCACCCAGGCCCACUGCCUCUUUACCCGCUACCCGCCCUCCCUGCUGGCCAAGCGUGCUGCUCUGCAGUCCCGCAAUAGGGCCAGAGACAGUCCCUCACUACACCACCAGAGUGGACCAUGGAUGGAUGACACAGGGCCAGAGACAGUCCCUCACUACACCACCAGAGUGGACCAUGGAUGGAUGACACAGGGCCAGAGACAGUCCCUCACUACACCACCAGAGUGGACCAUGGAUGGAUGACACAGGGCCAGAGACAGUCCCUCACUACACCACCAGAGUGGACCAUGGAUGGAUGACACAGUUUCUCAGUUAUGCAGGACAAUGCUCCAUGCCACACAGCCAGGUCAAUCAAGGUGUGGUUGGAGGACCACCAGAUCAAGACCCUGUCAUGGCCAGCCCAAUCUCCAGACCUGAACCCCAUUGAAAAUCUCUGGAAUGUGAUCAAGAGGAAGAUGGAUGGUCACAAGCCAUCAAACAAAGCAUAGCUGCUUGAAUGUUUGCGCCAGGAGAGGCAUAAAGUCACCCAACAUCAAUGUGAAAGACUGGUGGAGAGCAUGCCAAGAUGCAUGAAAGCUGUGAUUGAAAAUCAGGGUUAUUGCACCAAAUAUUGAUUUGUGAACUCUUCCUAAGUUAAAAAAUGAUUUUAAAACUUAUUUUAUUAUUAUUAUUUGAGGUCUGACAACACUGCAUCUUUUUGUUAUUUUGACCAGUUGUCAUUUUCUGCAAAUAAAUGUGUAAUUUGGGAGAAAUGUUGUCACUAGUUUAUAGAAUAAAACAAAAAUGUUCAUUUUACCAAGAAACUGAAGAUUCAUCCCAAAGGUGUUCAAUGGGGUUGAGGUCCCGUUCUGUGAGCUUGUGUGGCUUACCAAUUGUGGCUGAGCCAUUGUUGCUCUUAGAUGUUUCCACUUCAUAAUAAUAACACUUACAGUUGAACGGGGCAGCUCUAACAGGGCAGAAAUUUGACCAACUGACUUGUUGUGAAGGUGGCAUCCUACAACGGUGCCACGUUGAAAGUCAUUGAGCUCUUCAGUAAGGCCAUUCCACUGCCAAUGUUUGUCCAUGGAGAUUGCAUGGCUGUGUGCUCGAUUUUAUAAACCAGUCAGCAACGUGUGUGGCUGCAAUAGCCAAAUAAACUAGUUUGAAGAGGUGUCCAGAUACUUUUGUGUAUGUAGUGUGUCUGUGUCGUCUGUGUAUGU
This is an RNA transcript of Oncorhynchus nerka (sockeye salmon), 2261 nucleotides long. It is a transcript of the gene named TBC1 domain family member 20-like, with no coding region annotated. The transcript has 9 exons. NCBI's taxonomy places the organism in Eukaryota, Metazoa, Chordata, Actinopteri, Salmoniformes, Salmonidae. The record is from RefSeq and is a predicted model, not a curated record.